CGGACGGGUGAGUAACACGUGGAUAACCUACCUAUAAGACUGGGAUAACUUCGGGAAACCGGAGCUAAUACCGGAUAAUAUAUUGAACCGCAUGGUUCAAUAGUGAAAGACGGUUUUGCUGUCACUUAUAGAUGGAUCCGCGCCGCAUUAGCUAGUUGGUAAGGUAACGGCUUACCAAGGCGACGAUGCGUAGCCGAACUGAGAGGGUGAUCAGCCACACUGGAACUGAGACACGGUCCAG
This 241-nucleotide ribosomal RNA is filed under the name uncultured Staphylococcus sp. Its description in RNAcentral is "partial 16S ribosomal RNA". It matches the Rfam family "Bacterial small subunit ribosomal RNA", at positions 99 to 334 of the family's 1533-position model. Lineage: Bacteria; Bacillati; Bacillota; Bacilli; Caryophanales; Staphylococcaceae. The record is from RNAcentral.